CGGAGGGUGAGUAACACGUGGGUAACCUGCCUGUAAGACUGGGAUAACUCCGGGAAACCGGAGCUAAUACCGGAUAGUUCCUUGAACCGCAGGUUCAGGAUGAAAGACGGUUUCGGCUGUCACUUACAGAUGGACCCGCGGCGCACUAGCUAGUUGGUGGGGUAAUGGCUCACCAAGGCGACGAUGCGUAGCCGACCUGAGAGGGUGAUCGGCCACACUGGGACUGAGACACGGCCCACACUCCUACGGGAGGCAGCAGUAGGGAAUCUUCCGCAAUGGACGAAAGUCUGACGGAGCAACGCCGCGUGAGUGAUGAAGGUUUUCGGAUCGUAAAGCUCUGUUGUUAGGGAAGAACAAGUGCGAGAGUAACUGCUCGCACCUUGACGGUACCUAACCAGAAAGCCACGGCUAACUACGUGCCAGCAGCCGCGGUAAUACGUACGUGGCAAGCGUUGUCCGGAAUUAUUGGGCGUAAAGGGCUCGCAGGCGGUUUCUUAAGUCUGAUGUGAAAGCCCCCGGCUCAACCGGGGAGGGUCAUUGGAAACUGGGAAACUUGAGUGCACAAUAGGGAGAGUGGAAUUCCACGUGUAGCGGUGAAAUGCGUAGAGAUGUGGAGAGAACACCAGUGGCGAAAGCGUACUCUCUGGUCUGUAACUGACUCUGAGGAGCGAAAGCGUGGGGAGCGAACAGGAUUAGAUACCCUGGUAGUCCACGCCCUAUACGAUGAGUGCUAGUGUUGUGGGGUUUCCGCCCCUUAGUGCUGCAGCUAACGCACUAAGCA
This 781-nucleotide ribosomal RNA is filed under the name Bacillus zhangzhouensis. RNAcentral describes it as "bacterial SSU rRNA". It matches the Rfam family "Bacterial small subunit ribosomal RNA", at positions 99 to 866 of the family's 1533-position model. The record is from RNAcentral. Lineage: Bacteria; Bacillati; Bacillota; Bacilli; Caryophanales; Bacillaceae.